This 275-nucleotide ribosomal RNA is filed under the name uncultured bacterium. Its description in RNAcentral is "partial 16S ribosomal RNA". It matches the Rfam family "Bacterial small subunit ribosomal RNA", at positions 79 to 353 of the family's 1533-position model. The record is from RNAcentral.
AAACUGAAGAUGGCGACCGGCGCACGGGUGAGUAACACGUAUCCAACCUACCGAUAACUCCGGAAUAGCCUUUCGAAAGAAAGAUUAAUACCGGAUAGCAUACGAAUAUCGCAUGAUAUUUUUAUUAAAGAAUUUCGGUUAUCGAUGGGGAUGCGUUCCAUUAGUUUGUUGGCGGGGUAACGGCCCACCAAGACUACGAUGGAUAGGGGUUCUGAGAGGAAGGUCCCCCACAUUGGAACUGAGACACGGACCAGACUCCUACGGGAGGCAGCAUG